Mytilus californianus (California mussel) is the source of this 160-nucleotide long non-coding RNA. RefSeq lists it as uncharacterized. The record is from RefSeq and is a predicted model, not a curated record. The transcript has 3 exons. Lineage: Eukaryota; Metazoa; Mollusca; Bivalvia; Mytilida; Mytilidae.
UAGAUGGUUAACAUUACUCCUGUCACAAGAGUUUCCUCUUCCAGGUAGACAAAUAUAACCCUUGCCUUUAGAUGGUAAACAUUACUCCUGUCACAAGAGUUUCCUCUUCCAGGUAGACAAAUAUAACCCUUGCCUUUAGAUGGUAAACAUUACUCCUGUC